RNAcentral lists this ribosomal RNA (491 nucleotides) under uncultured bacterium. Its description in RNAcentral is "partial 16S ribosomal RNA". It matches the Rfam family "Bacterial small subunit ribosomal RNA", at positions 28 to 506 of the family's 1533-position model. The record is from RNAcentral.
GAUGAACGCUAGCUACAGGCUUAACACAUGCAAGUCGAGGGGAAACGACAUCGAAAGCUUGCUUUUGAUGGGCGUCGACCGGCGCACGGGUGAGUAACGCGUAUCCAACCUGCCCAUCACUUGGGAAUAACCUUGCGAAAGUAAGACUAAUACCCAAUGACAUCCCACGAAGACAUCUGAAUGGGAUUAAAGAUUUAUCGGUGAUGGAUGGGGAUGCGUCUGAUUAGCUUGUUGGCGGGGUAACGGCCCACCAAGGCAACGAUCAGUAGGGGUUCUGAGAGGAAGGGCCCCCACAUUGGAACUGAGACACGGUCCAAACUCCUACGGGGGGCAGCAGUGAGGAAUAUUGGUCAAUGGGCGAGAGCCUGAACCAGCCAAGUAGCGUGCAGGAUGACGGCCCUAUGGGUUGUAAACUGCUUUUAUAAGGGAAUAAAGUGGGUCUCGUGAGACUUUUUGCAUGUACCUUAUGAAUAAGGACCGGCUAAUUCCGU